GAUGAACGCUGGCGGCGUGCUUAACACAUGCAAGUCGAACGGAAAGGCUCCUGCUUGCAGGGGUACUCGAGUGGCGAACGGGUGAGUAACACGUGGGUGAUCUGCCCAGCACUUCGGGAUAAGCCUGGGCAACUGGGUCUAAUACCGGAUAGGACGAUGGUUUGGAUGCCAUUGUGGAAAGUUUUUUCGGUGUGGGAUGAGCUCGCGGCCUAUCCGCUUGUUGGUGGGGUAAUGGCCUACCAAGGCGUCGACGGGUAGCCGGCCUGAGAGGGUGUACGGCCACAUUGGGACUGAGAUACGGCCCAGACUCCUACGGGAGGCAGCAGUGGGGAAUAUUGCACAAUGGGCGCAAGCCUGAUGCAGCGACGCCGCGUGGGGGAUGACGGCCUUCGGGUUGUAAACUCCUUUCGCUAGGGACGAAGCGAAAGUGACGGUACCUGGAGAAGAAGCACUGGCUAACUACGUG
This 466-nucleotide ribosomal RNA is filed under the name uncultured bacterium. Its description in RNAcentral is "partial 16S ribosomal RNA". It matches the Rfam family "Bacterial small subunit ribosomal RNA", at positions 28 to 507 of the family's 1533-position model. The record is from RNAcentral.